RNAcentral lists this ribosomal RNA (366 nucleotides) under uncultured bacterium. Its description in RNAcentral is "bacterial SSU rRNA". It matches the Rfam family "Bacterial small subunit ribosomal RNA", at positions 29 to 398 of the family's 1533-position model. The record is from RNAcentral.
AUUGAACGCUGGCGGCAUGCCUUACACAUGCAAGUCGAGCGGCAGCGCGGGGGCAACCCUGGCGGCGAGCGGCGGACGGGUGAGUAAUACAUCGGAACGUGUCCUUUCGUGGGGGAUAACCAGUCGAAAGACUGGCUAAUACCGCAUGAGAUCUCACGAUGAAAGCGGGGGACCGCAAGGCCUCGCGCGAUUGGAGCGGCCGAUGUCGGAUUAGCAGUUGGCGGGGUAAAAGCCCACCAAGGCGACGAUCCGUAGCUGGUAUGAGAGUACGACCAGCCACACUGGGACUGAGACACGGCCCAGACUCCUACGGAGGCAGCAGUGGGGAAUUUUGGACAAUGGGGGCAACCCUGAUCCAGCCAUGCC